Molecule: ribosomal RNA, 359 nt
Filed under: Bacillus pumilus
Lineage: Bacteria; Bacillati; Bacillota; Bacilli; Caryophanales; Bacillaceae
Description: bacterial SSU rRNA
Rfam family: Bacterial small subunit ribosomal RNA
Source: RNAcentral
GACAGGUGGUGCAUGGUUGUCGUCAGCUCGUGUCGUGAGAUGUUGGGUUAAGUCCCGCAACGAGCGCAACCCUUGAUCUUAGUUGCCAGCAUUCAGUUGGGCACUCUAAGGUGACUGCCGGUGACAAACCGGAGGAAGGUGGGGAUGACGUCAAAUCAUCAUGCCCCUUAUGACCUGGGCUACACACGUGCUACAAUGGACAGAACAAAGGGCUGCGAGACCGCAAGGUUUAGCCAAUCCCACAAAUCUGUUCUCAGUUCGGAUCGCAGUCUGCAACUCGACUGCGUGAAGCUGGAAUCGCUAGUAAUCGCGGAUCAGCAUGCCGCGGUGAAUACGUUCCCGGGUCUUGUACACACCGA